AGCUUGCCAUUUGCAGCUGCCAUGAACGGUGGUCCAGCCAUGCCCACCUGUCUUGGAGCCAACUGAGUGUGGACUGAAACCUCCAAAAACUGACAUCUGGUGUGUGGGGCAGGGGAUGACACACCAUGGGAAGAGAAAAUAGCCUCUUUACUGUUUUAGAAAUGGAGAUUAUUAAGAAAUAAAGGAACUACAGUGGCCUUUCUGAGGCUGGCAGCUCUCCCCUGGACCAGGGCUUGAGUUUCACAGACGAAAACCCGAGGGCAGGAGAUGACAGAGAUGCUUUGUUGUCCCCUUCAGUGACUUGGACGAGGCUGCUGCAAAGAUCCCUGGGGCUCGAGGGCUCGGGGGAGGUCACCUGCUCAACAGCCUGCGGAGUAACCGGGCCAACUCGGGAAACACAGCCAGCUUCGCAGAGAACCAGAAAGUGCGCUUGUGGUUCUUUCUGUUUCCUCCCGGAGGAAAAACUCGGGUUUCAUUCAGGACCACCACGUUGGAAAUGCUCAGAACUGGGCAGCGGAGCCCCAGGCUUCACACCCACUCCUGGUGUGAAGUCCACGCAUGGCUGCUUUGCUAGGACCGUCCCCAACCCAGUCAACUGUGGCUGGAAGGCCGUUUGUGUCCACUAACAAAUCCCGCUGUACUGAUACAAUCGCUUGUGCGGGAGAGUCUGCUGGAGUCACUAAAAGCACUGUGAUUCAGGGUGGUUUACCCAGCUGGAGCGCUCGAAGGAAACAAAGAAGAGAAAACCACCCUGGAAGGAGUUUCUAGGACUACUAUGUAUCCCAGCGGCUAGCAACAAAGUUUCUGGUCAGCUGCUUGUUACUCAGUCAGAAUCCUCCCUCAAGAUUCUGGGCCAAGUAUAGACUCUGAAUAUAGAAUGCAAGUGUGAACACAGAUGAUGUGUGGUUCAGAAAAGAUGAACAAAAUGGAGCCGAGAAAGAAAGAAUAAAGACUUUCUUUCCAAGGAAGGAAGAAUAAAGAUAACACUUUGAGGGGACAGGGGACACAGCUCAGUGGCACAGGGUCUGCCUGGCAAGCUCUAGGUUUUGAGUUUGGUAUGGGGAGAAGGAGGAGAAGGAAGAGGAAGAGGAGGAGGAGGAGGAGAAGAAAAAAAAUAAAGAAGACAACUUCUGUUUACAUACCUGCUUGAUUCAUCAUUGUUGAUUCACUCCUGCAUAAGAAGUAGUUUGUUAAUAUUGGAUACUUUGUAAGCAAAUUAUCAGCAGAGUAACAAACUUGAAUGCUUAAACUUGUAUAGCAAUCAUGAAUUUCUCUGAACAUAUGAAAAUAGAAAGCUGAUUGAAUGGUUCCUAUCUGUUAGUGACAAGGAAGUAAUAUGUCAAAUGAAAGAUGUUUUUUAACUAGUGAAAAAUCACCAUCAAUUAGUACUUAUGCAACUGUUAUUUUUAAAGGUUUAACUAUACUGAGAUACUGGAAUAAUUUUUAAUGCAUGGCAAUAAACACAAACACUUAAUGUUUAUUCCUUCAUAACCCUUGUUCUUACAAGUUUUUGGAAUCCUAAAUUGAAAAUUUUCUAAAGUUUCAUGAAACUAAUGGUACAACACUGUAAAUUAGAGGCAAAUUCUUGUCUA
Molecule: long non-coding RNA, 1592 nt
Organism: Cavia porcellus (domestic guinea pig)
Lineage: Eukaryota; Metazoa; Chordata; Mammalia; Rodentia; Caviidae
Exons: 4
Source: RefSeq, a predicted model, not a curated record